UACGUAGGGGGCAAGCGUUAUCCGGAUUUACUGGGUGUAAAGGGAGCGUAGACGGCGAUACAAGUCUGAAGUGAAAGCCCCGGGCUUAACCUGGGAACUGCUUUGGAAACUGUACUGCUAGAGUGCUGGAGAGGUAAGCGGAAUUCCUAGUGUAGCGGUGAAAUGCGUAGAUAUUAGGAGGAACACCAGUGGCGAAGGCGGCUUACUGGACGAUAACUGACGCUGAGGCUCGAAAGCGUGGGGAGCAAACAGG
Molecule: ribosomal RNA, 253 nt
Filed under: uncultured bacterium
Lineage: Bacteria
Description: partial 16S ribosomal RNA
Rfam family: Bacterial small subunit ribosomal RNA
Source: RNAcentral